This is a long non-coding RNA of Choloepus didactylus (southern two-toed sloth), 546 nucleotides long. RefSeq lists it as uncharacterized. Lineage: Eukaryota; Metazoa; Chordata; Mammalia; Pilosa; Megalonychidae. The record is from RefSeq and is a predicted model, not a curated record. The transcript has 3 exons.
GUGGGGACAGGAAGGAAGGCACCCCCAGGACUGCAAGAGAGUGAGAGAAUGAGGGCAUGGAGAAGCUGUCGGGCAAGACCUGAGGCUGAGUUUCAUUCUCAUUUCAGAGAAGACCAAGGCUCCAGUGCAAUGCAAAGGCAUUGCUUGUUUCAGAGACAUCUGGGAAGGUAGGGUGACAUCAGGAAAUCAGCACUCUAUUCCUCAGUCACUGUCAGGGGAACCGAAGGCUCAGGAGGGAGAAUCAGAGACCAUGGCCUGGAAGUUUGCCCCAGGGUACUUGAGCAGCUGAUCCCUUUCGAUGGAGGACCAUCAAGCAGCCAAUUGGAGAAGAUAAGAGCUCAAGACCUCAAAUCCAUCUACUCAGAGUUUCUCAGACUUUUUCACCUACUGAUAAAAUAAAUUCCUCUCCAUCUCCUGAAGAUCCAGAGAUGCCCUGAUUUGGUGGGAUGAGAGGUGCUCAUUUUGAAUUCUAAUAUCAGUUUAUGAAUUAUCAGUAGCCAAAGAAGAUUCUAUCCAGCUUUUCUUUCUGUAGCUUGUAUUAGCAAA